Molecule: ribosomal RNA, 331 nt
Filed under: uncultured Leptolinea sp.
Lineage: Bacteria; Bacillati; Chloroflexota; Anaerolineae; Anaerolineales; Anaerolineaceae
Description: bacterial SSU rRNA
Rfam family: Bacterial small subunit ribosomal RNA
Source: RNAcentral
AGGUGCUGCAUUGGCUGUCGUCAGCUCGUGUCGUGAGAUGUUCGGUUAAGUCCGCUAACGAGCGCAACCCUCGCUGUGUGUUAUAUGUGUCACACGGGACUGCCGGUCUUAAGCCGGAGAAGGUGGGAUGAUGUCAAGUCAGCAUGGCCUUUAUAUCCUGGGCUACACACACGCUACAAUGGCCAACACAAUAGGUUGCUAAGCCGCGAGGUGGCGCCAAUCCAUAAAGUUGGUCUCAGUUCAGAUUGUAGGCUGCAACCCGCCUGCAUGAAGAUGGAGUUGCUAGUAACCGCAGGUCAGCUAUACUGCGGUGAAUACGUUCCCGGGGCUU